RNAcentral lists this long non-coding RNA (1174 nucleotides) under Coturnix japonica (Japanese quail). RNAcentral's name for it is "lncRNA (ENSCJPG00005010362.1)". The record is from RNAcentral. Lineage: Eukaryota; Metazoa; Chordata; Aves; Galliformes; Phasianidae.
CCCAGGUCCAAUUUCAUUAAACCCCAGUCAGCAUAGUUCUUUGUGAUAGCACUGACUCUCAUCUAAAGCAAUAUGUAUUUUGGCUUACACUUAUGAAUAAAUCCUAUCCUAAGUACCUUCUUCCUAGUAUGCAACACGCUGUAGUGGUCCAAAAAAAAAAAAAGCAGCUUCUGUAAGAAGUUGUACAGAAGAGAGGCUAUUAUAAUUUAUCAUGAUUUUCCUUGUAAGCUCUCUGCUAUCUUAGGAAAUUAUGUUCUCCAAAAAUAAAUUAGAACUGUAGCUGCAUAUAACACUGAAACUGCUGUUUCUGCUGUUAUUCCGGCUUUGAUCGAUGCAGAGAAACUGAAGCUGGUAUGUCAGAGGCCAUAUAUUUACAGCCCCAUAGACACAAUAUGUUUAUUCCGUUUUACCCCUCCCUGGCUGCCAAAGUGCUAAAAUUAGCAUGAAGUAUUCAGAAGAAUGCCAGAUAGACACAAGGAAAUGUGUUGUUACAAAUCCCAGUCCUCUGUAUUGCUUCAUUGUGCAGUGUGGGCCUGAGGCAACAUGGAGCGGCCUGUGGCCACUGGAGCCCAGCUUUAUCUUGAUGCCAAGGGGUUGGCUCUGCCUGAGGAUUUGUUUUACCUCUUUCCUGUACCUAAGCAGUGAAAUGUUUCAUUAUGGACUUUCCAAGAAGUGGAGAAAUACAAACUAUAUACUUCAACCAUCAUUCCUCUCCAAGUGCUGAGUUCUCAACAGUCAGUAGGCAACACAGAUUUCUCGUAUUAGAAGUGUAGCCACGUCAUCUGGUGAACUGAUUGAACUCUUCUGAACACUCAUCCAUUUCAAUACAUAUGUUGAAAGAAAUCAUUCUAAUGCUGUUCAACACUUGAGAUUAGGAUGAAAGUACUUUCCGUAUUGGUUUAUAGUUUGUUUGUUUGUUUUUCCCUUUUGAGUGUUCUUUCUUAUGUAAAAUAUUCUAGUUGAAUCUUUUCUGCUCUUCUCUAUUAAAGUUUUCACCUUGUUGUCAAAUACUGGUUCUUUUGCCAGUGUUCAUGGCUGUUGUGAGUGGACUUGAGAAAGAGAAUAGAAUUUUAUCUGGCUUAGGCAACAUAGCAGUUACAGUAACUUCUAGUUUCAGUAGAUGGUGAUAUUGUGAAUACAUCCUCAGCAAUAAACUCAGCUGGUUAUUUGGUCA